Molecule: transfer RNA, 77 nt
Filed under: Crocinitomicaceae bacterium
Lineage: Bacteria; Pseudomonadati; Bacteroidota; Flavobacteriia; Flavobacteriales; Crocinitomicaceae
Description: tRNA-Ala
Rfam family: tRNA
About the family: Transfer RNA (tRNA) molecules are approximately 80 nucleotides in length. Their secondary structure includes four short double-helical elements and three loops (D, anti-codon, and T loops). Further hydrogen bonds mediate the characteristic L-shaped molecular structure. tRNAs have two regions of fundamental functional importance: the anti-codon, which is responsible for specific mRNA codon recognition, and the 3' end, to which the tRNAs corresponding amino acid is attached (by aminoacyl-tRNA synthetases). tRNAs cope with the degeneracy of the genetic code in two manners: having more than one tRNA (with a specific anti-codon) for a particular amino acid; and 'wobble' base-pairing, i.e. permitting non-standard base-pairing at the 3rd anti-codon position.
Source: RNAcentral
GGGCAAGAAGCUCCGUUGGUUAGAGCCUUAGCUUGGCAUGCUAGAGGUCACUGGUUCGAAUCCAGUAUUGCCCACUA